Molecule: ribosomal RNA, 450 nt
Filed under: uncultured bacterium
Lineage: Bacteria
Description: partial 16S ribosomal RNA
Rfam family: Bacterial small subunit ribosomal RNA
Source: RNAcentral
CCUACGGGAGGCUGCAGUCGAGGAUCUUCGGCAAUGGGCGCAAGCCUGACCGAGCGACGCCGCGUGCGGGAUGAAGGCCUUCGGGUUGUAAACCGCUGUCAGAGGGGAUGAAAUGUGCGUGGGUUCUCCCACGUACUUGACAGAUCCUCAGAGGAAGUACGGGCUAAGUUCGUGCCAGCAGCCGCGGUAAGACGAACCGUAGGAACGUUAUUCGGAAUCACUGGGCUUAACGGUUGCGAAGGCGGGGUGGGAAAGCCCUCGGCUCAACCGAGGAAUUGCGCCCAAAACUACCGUACUUGAGGGAGACAGAGGUGAGUGGAACUUAGGGUGGAGCGGUGAAAUGCGUUGAUAUCCUAAGGAACGCCAGUGGCGAAAGCGACUCACUGGGUCUUUUCUGACGCUGAGGCACGAAAGCUAGGGUAGCGAACGGGAUUAGAUACCCUUGUAGUC